RNAcentral lists this ribosomal RNA (253 nucleotides) under uncultured bacterium. Its description in RNAcentral is "partial 16S ribosomal RNA". It matches the Rfam family "Bacterial small subunit ribosomal RNA", at positions 524 to 776 of the family's 1533-position model. The record is from RNAcentral.
UACGGAGGGUGCGAGCGUUGUCCGGAAUCACUGGGCGUAAAGGGCGCGUAGGCGGCCUGAUAAGUAGGGGGUGAAAUCCUGCGGCUUAACCGCAGGGCUGCCUUCUAAACUGUCAGGCUUGAGCACAGUAGAGGCAGGUGGAAUUCCCGGUGUAGCGGUGGAAUGCGUGGAGAUCGGGAAGAACAUCAGUGGCGAAGGCGGCCUGCUGGGCUGUUGCUGACGCUGAGGCGCGACAGCGUGGGGAGCAAACAGG